AAACAUGGGAAAGUUACUUUCCCAUGAGGUGGGAAUCACUCUUUUUUAUUUUUUCCCAAAAAGACCCUUCAGCAUUAAAGAAGCAUUAAAGAGGCAUUAAAAACCUAAUUUUUAUUAAGGGCAUAAUAGGAAUUAUACAUAACUUUCCUAGGAAAGUGGAUGGUCAACCAAACAUAAGCACUUUGAAAAUUUGUCACUUUCCCAUGGUUAACCAAACAUGCCAAAAGUACUUUCCUAGGUAUCCUCUUCCUAGGAAUCUGAUUCCCAGGAAUCAUAUUCCUAGGAGGGAAAAUACUUCCCGCGAACCAAACGAGCCCUUAGUUUUUAGAGUUUGAAUUGAACCUUCAGCUAUUGUCCUUGCAUCCUCCAACCACCAAGGUGGGUGAACCAAGGAACAUACAUACCCUCAUCUAAAAGGCUUGCCAUCUAUUGGAUUCUGGUAGAAACAGUAUUGUUAGCUGCUGAAAAUCUCUAAAAAUGAUGUGCCUUAAAAAGUAGACUCUAGAAUUAAUUCCUGUUGCUGUUACCUGCAGCAACAAUUGAACAACAAAUAUGAAAAAUAAAAUUGAAUAGCAAUUUUGAUAAACAAAUUACUGGAGUCAAA
This 604-nucleotide long non-coding RNA is filed under the name Phoenix dactylifera (date palm). Its description in RNAcentral is "long non-coding RNA (PDAC_LNC010023)". The record is from RNAcentral. Lineage: Eukaryota; Viridiplantae; Streptophyta; Magnoliopsida; Arecales; Arecaceae.